Molecule: ribosomal RNA, 207 nt
Filed under: uncultured bacterium
Lineage: Bacteria
Description: partial 16S ribosomal RNA
Rfam family: Bacterial small subunit ribosomal RNA
Source: RNAcentral
CAUGUAGGCGGCUCUGUAAGUCCGGCGUGGAAGCCCACGGCUCAACCGUGGGAUUGCGCUGGAAACUGCGGGGCUCGAAUCAUGGAGAGGGAGCUAGAAUUCCAGGUGUAGGGGUGAAAUCUGUAGAGAUCUGGAAGAAUACCAGUGGCGAAGGCGAGCUCCUGGCCAAUGAUUGACGCUGAGGUGCGAAAGUGUGGGGAUCAAACA